Schizophyllum commune H4-8 is the source of this 109-nucleotide non-coding RNA. Lineage: Eukaryota; Fungi; Basidiomycota; Agaricomycetes; Agaricales; Schizophyllaceae. The record is from Rfam.
GGUCUAAUAGUGUAGUGGUUAGCACUCAGGAUUUUGACGGCCGACCGGGUCCCCGGCCCGGCAAUCACGUGACCUUCCUGCGACCCAGGUUCGAACCCUGGUUAGACCU